GAUGAACGCUGGCGGCGUGCCUAAUACAUGCAAGUCGAGCGAACAGAUGAGAAGCUUGCUUCUCUGAUGUUAGCGGCGGACGGGUGAGUAACACGUGGGUAACCUACCUAUAAGACUGGGAUAACUCCGGGAAACCGUGGCUAAUACCGGAUAAUAUUUUGAACCGCAUGGUUCAAUAGUGAAAGACGGUUUCGGCUGUCACUUAUAGAUGGACCCGCGCCGUAUUAGCUAGUUGGUAAGGUAACGGCUUACCAAGGCGACGAUACGUAGCCGACCUGAGAGGGUGAUCGGCCACACUGGAACUGAAACACGGUCCAGGCUCCUACGGGAGGCAGCAGUAGGGAAUCUUCCGCAAUGGGCGAAAGCCUGACGGAGCAACGCCGCGUGAGUGAUGAAGGUCUUCGGAUCGUAACACUCUGUUGUUAGGGAAGAACAAAUUUGUUAGUAACUGAACAAGUCUUGACGGUACCUAACCAGAAAGCCACGGCUAACUACGUGCCAGCCGCCGCGGUAA
Molecule: ribosomal RNA, 514 nt
Filed under: uncultured bacterium
Lineage: Bacteria
Description: partial 16S ribosomal RNA
Rfam family: Bacterial small subunit ribosomal RNA
Source: RNAcentral